Molecule: unclassified non-coding RNA, 239 nt
Filed under: fungal sp.
Lineage: Eukaryota; Fungi
Description: partial internal transcribed spacer region
Rfam family: Eukaryotic small subunit ribosomal RNA (bases 1-46)
Source: RNAcentral
AAGUCGUAACAAGGUUUCCGUAGGUGAACCUGCGGAAGGAUCAUUAACACGAUUUUAAUCCAUUUAUCAACCACGUGUCAUGAAGCCGAUCAAACGGCUUCGGUUUCUCUCCAUUUUUAAUCUAUGAACCCUUUGAAACUAUUCAGACUCAAACUCAAAUUCGAUUUUUUCGCAGAUGCGGAAAAGCGAAUCAAUAAACGAACAAGAAACAACUCUUAGCGACGGAUUUCUUGGCUCCC